RNAcentral lists this ribosomal RNA (434 nucleotides) under uncultured bacterium. RNAcentral's name for it is "partial 16S ribosomal RNA". It matches the Rfam family "Bacterial small subunit ribosomal RNA", at positions 29 to 507 of the family's 1533-position model. The record is from RNAcentral.
AGCGAACGCUGGCGGCAGGCCUAACACAUGCAAGUCGAACGAACCUUUCGGGGUUAGUGGCGGACGGGUGAGUAACACGUGGGAACGUGCCUUUAGGUUCGGAAUAACUCAGGGAAACUUGUGCUAAUACCGAAUGUGCCCUUCGGGGGAAAGAUUUAUCGCCUUUAGAGCGGCCCGCGUCUGAUUAGCUAGUUGGUUGAGGUAAUGGCUCACCAAGGCGACGAUCAGUAGCUGGUCUGAGAGGAUGAUCAGCCACAUUGGGACUGAGACACGGCCCAAACUCCUACGGGAAGCAGCAGUGGGGAAUCUUGCGCAAUGGGCGAAAGCCUGACGCAGCCAUGCCGCGUGAAUGAUGAAGGUCUUAGGAUUGUAAAAUUCUUUCACCGGGGACGAUAAUGACGGUACCCGGAGAAGAACCCCCGGCUAACUUCGUG